This 547-nucleotide ribosomal RNA is filed under the name Levilactobacillus brevis. Its description in RNAcentral is "bacterial SSU rRNA". It matches the Rfam family "Bacterial small subunit ribosomal RNA", at positions 47 to 583 of the family's 1533-position model. The record is from RNAcentral. Lineage: Bacteria; Bacillati; Bacillota; Bacilli; Lactobacillales; Lactobacillaceae.
CUUCCGUAGCAUGGCAUGCUUACACUGAUUUCAACAAUGAAGCGAGUGGCGAACUGGUGAGUAACACGUGGGAAAUCUGCCCAGAAGCAGGGGAUAACACUUGGAAACAGGUGCUAAUACCGUAUAACAACAAAAUCCGCAUGGAUUUUGUUUGAAAGGUGGCUUCGGCUAUCACUUCUGGAUGAUCCCGCGGCGUAUUAGUUAGUUGGUGAGGUAAAGGCCCACCAAGACGAUGAUACGUAGCCGACCUGAGAGGGUAAUCGGCCACAUUGGGACUGAGACACGGCCCAAACUCCUACGGGAGGCAGCAGUAGGGAAUCUUCCACAAUGGACGAAAGUCUGAUGGAGCAAUGCCGCGUGAGUGAAGAAGGGUUUCGGCUCGUAAAACUCUGUUGUUAAAGAAGAACACCUUUGAGAGUAACUGUUCAAGGGUUGACGGUAUUUAACCAGAAAGCCACGGCUAACUACGUGCCAGCAGCCGCGGUAAUACGUAGGUGGCAAGCGUUGUCCGGAUUUAUUGGGCGUAAAGCGAGCGCAGGCGGUUUUU